AUUGUGGUUAUUUCCUUUGAAGAUUUGACUGUUGUUAUUUCCUAUGAACAUGUGUUCACCACAGAUCGACGGAGAAGAGGUGAAACUGACACUUUUAGAUCUACGGCCCCCAAACCCUAAUGCGUUCAAACAUUCAGAUCUGGUAUAAGAUCGAUGGAGAAGAGGUGCCACUGAUACUUUUAGAUCUACGGCCCCCAAACCCUAAUGCGUUCAAACAUUCAGAUCUGGUAUAAGAUCGUGGUUAUUUCCUUUGAAAAUUUGAUGAUUUAACAUGCAACUGAGCUUUUAGAUCUGCUGCUCACAAACCCUAAUACGGUCAAACUUUUAGAUCUGGUAUAAGGUGAUGAUUUUGUUGCAAAACAUGACUUAACGAAGAUGAAUCAUGUGGUUUGUUCGAAGCCUAGGCGAGUCA
This 412-nucleotide long non-coding RNA is filed under the name Helianthus annuus (common sunflower). RNAcentral's name for it is "hypothetical non coding rna". Lineage: Eukaryota; Viridiplantae; Streptophyta; Magnoliopsida; Asterales; Asteraceae. The record is from RNAcentral.